UUGUUAGCUAGCAAUCCCAUCGCUAAGGAGAAGCAUGGGCUCACGGGCUAUACCUGUGAUGUAAAACCCACAUACUAUACUACAUUGCACUGUGUACUAGUAUGGAUAGGGCACUAAUCUUUACUCUAUUUAGUGCAAAACUAUAAUUUCUCGUACAACAUAAAAUGUGAAGAAAAGUUAUAGUUAGAUUCAAGCAGGAGGAAGUAUACAAAUGUUUGAACCCUCUUUUACUAAAAUCCUGAUACUUCGGGUGUGUGGAUGUGCAAAUCCAUACUAUAUUAUUUAUUGCCAGUAAUGGCUGUUAGG
Molecule: non-coding RNA, 306 nt
Filed under: unclassified sequences
Description: RAGATH-15 RNA
Rfam family: RAGATH-15 RNA
About the family: RNA motif Associated with Genes Associated with Twister and Hammerhead ribozymes (RAGATH).
Source: Rfam by way of RNAcentral